Oncorhynchus mykiss (rainbow trout) is the source of this 963-nucleotide non-coding RNA. The record is from RefSeq and is a predicted model, not a curated record. Lineage: Eukaryota; Metazoa; Chordata; Actinopteri; Salmoniformes; Salmonidae.
UCUCCGACUUCAGUGCAUUCAAGACAACAGGGAACUCGGAAAAACGAGCCCCGACUGGGAAAAAUAUUUUUCUAAAUGUCUUCCAACUCGGAAUUCCAACUCGGGAACUAGGGACUCUUUCUAUAGCUCUGACUUUCCGACCUGAAGAUCAAUGACUUCAUGACUUGACCUCGUAUUUUUCCGAGUUCCCAGUUGUCUUGAAAGCACCAAUGGAUCAGAGAAACGUGCCAGUGGGUACCAGCAAGCACACCAGCACAGCGGGAUCAAGUGUUGCAAUGCAACGGGUGUCCAGGGGCGCAAACGACAUCGAUUUGGCCAGCUAGGUAGAAAAGCUCCAGCAGGCGUACAGCUACAUUCGGAUGCCCUCCAACUGCCUGCUCACCUGUGGGGAAACAUACAAACUCUGCUGUGAUUCUACUGAGAAAAAUAAGAUACAACCUUUGACGGAAAUGUUUCGCCGUGACUACGGCCCCAACUACCACCCCACCUUCCAGGUGCUCCUUGGAUCAGACACAGAGGAUGUGGAGCUACGGCUCCUGAGGAGUGGGGGUGAGGAGGUAUGGAUGCGUGAUGUACCACUAAUAGUGGUUGUCCAGGUCCAUCUCUCUCUGUGAUCUCCAGGGCCAGAAGACUCCUGUUCCUGCACCGUGGACCCCACUAUCCUGAAGUACAGGAGCUACAGGCUAUAGUUUGCGGUGGCUACAACCUACUAAAGGGGUGAUGUCUGAGGUGUGACUCUUUUUUAGUUAACCUUUAUUUAACUAGGCAAGUCACGUAGGAUGUUCCUGAUAUGUAUUCCGUAGUUAUAUAUCUAAAACAAAUUAGUUAGCUUCUUAUAACAUCAAUUGAAUUAGGCCAUGAACGCCUAUGACCUUACCACCAACAGUAGAUAAUAAAAUACAACUCAAACUUCAUAAUUAAAAAGACAACAAUGUCCAUUUGAAAUAGCAUUUAAUAUGACCG